AGAGUUUGAUCAUGGCUCAGAACGAACGCUGGCGGCAGGCCUCAAACAUGCAAGUCUAGGGGACGUAGCAAUACGUCACCGGCGGACGGGUGCGUAACACGUGGGAAUGUACUUAUUGGUUCGGAACAACUCAGGGAAACUUGAGCUAAUACCGAAUGUGCCCGAAAGGGGAAAGAUUUAUCGCCAAUAAAUCAGCCCGCGUCCGAUUAGCUAGUUGGUGGGGUAAAGGCUCACCAAGGCGACGAUCGGUAGCUGUUCUGAGAGGAAGAUCAGCCACACUGGGACUGAGACACGGCCCAGACUCCUACGGGAGGCAGCAGUUGGGAAUCUUGGACAAUGGGGGAAACCCUGAUCCAGCCAUGCCGCGUGAGUGAUGAAGGCCUUAGGGUUGUAAAACUCUUUCGGCGGGGACGAUAAUGACGGUACCCGCAGAAGAAGCUCCGGCUAACUUCGUGCCAGCAGCCGCGGUAAUACGAAGGGGGCUAGCGUUGUUCGGAAUUACUGGGCGUAAAGCGUGCGCAGGCGGCCAUCCAAGUCAGUGGUGAAAGCCCGGAGCUCAACUCCGGAAUUGCCAUUGAAACUGUUUGGCUCGAGUACGAGAGAGGUGAGUGGAAUUCCCAGUGUAGAGGUGAAAUUCGUAGAUAUUGGGAAGAACACCGGUGGCGAAGGCGGCUCACUGGCUCGUAACUGACGCUCAUGCACGACAGCGUGGGGAUCAAACAGGAUUAGAUACCCUAGUAGUCC
RNAcentral lists this ribosomal RNA (744 nucleotides) under uncultured bacterium. RNAcentral's name for it is "bacterial SSU rRNA". It matches the Rfam family "Bacterial small subunit ribosomal RNA", at positions 8 to 796 of the family's 1533-position model. The record is from RNAcentral.